This 460-nucleotide ribosomal RNA is filed under the name uncultured bacterium. Its description in RNAcentral is "partial 16S ribosomal RNA". It matches the Rfam family "Bacterial small subunit ribosomal RNA", at positions 338 to 795 of the family's 1533-position model. The record is from RNAcentral.
CCUACGGGAGGCAGCAGUGAGGAAUAUUGGUCAAUGGACGAGAGUCUGAACCAGCCAAGUAGCGUGAAGGAUGACUGCCCUAUGGGUUGUAAACUUCUUUUAUAAAGGAAUAAAACGAGGCACGUGUGCCUUUUUGCAUGUACUUUAUGAAUAAGGAUCGGCUAACUCCGUGCCAGCAGCCGCGGUAAUACGGAGGAUCCGAGCGUUAUCCGGAUUUAUUGGGUUUAAAGGGAGCGUAGAUGGGUUGUUAAGUCAGUUGUGAAAGUUUGCGGCUCAACCGUAAAAUUGCAAUUGAUACUGGCAGUCGUGAGGACAGUUGAGGUAGGCGGAAUUCGUGGUGUAGCGGUGAAAUGCUUAGAUAUCACGAAGAACCCCGAUUGCGAAGGCAGCUUACUAAACUGUGACUGACAUUGAUGCUCGAAAGUGUGGGUAUCAAACAGGAUUAGAUACCCCAGUAGUC